Molecule: ribosomal RNA, 2916 nt
Filed under: Pseudomonas lurida
Lineage: Bacteria; Pseudomonadati; Pseudomonadota; Gammaproteobacteria; Pseudomonadales; Pseudomonadaceae
Description: 23S ribosomal RNA
Rfam family: Bacterial large subunit ribosomal RNA
Source: RNAcentral
GUUAUAUGGUCAAGUGAAGAAGCGCAUACGGUGGAUGCCUUGGCAGUCAGAGGCGAUGAAAGACGUGGUAGCCUGCGAAAAGCUUCGGGGAGUCGGCAAACAGACUUUGAUCCGGAGAUGUCUGAAUGGGGGAACCCAGCCAUCAUAAGAUGGUUAUCUUGUACUGAAUACAUAGGUGCAAGAGGCGAACCAGGGGAACUGAAACAUCUAAGUACCCUGAGGAAAAGAAAUCAACCGAGAUUCCCUUAGUAGUGGCGAGCGAACGGGGACUAGCCCUUAAGUGGCUUUGAGAUUAGCGGAACGCUCUGGAAAGUGCGGCCAUAGUGGGUGAUAGCCCUGUACGCGAAAAUCUCUUAGUCAUGAAAUCGAGUAGGACGGAGCACGAGAAACUUUGUCUGAAUAUGGGGGGACCAUCCUCCAAGGCUAAAUACUACUGACUGACCGAUAGUGAACUAGUACCGUGAGGGAAAGGCGAAAAGAACCCCGGAGAGGGGAGUGAAAUAGAUCCUGAAACCGUAUGCGUACAAGCAGUGGGAGCCCACUUUGUUGGGUGACUGCGUACCUUUUGUAUAAUGGGUCAGCGACUUAUUUUCAGUGGCGAGCUUAACCGAAUAGGGGAGGCGUAGCGAAAGCGAGUCUUAAUAGGGCGUCUAGUCGCUGGGAAUAGACCCGAAACCGGGCGAUCUAUCCAUGGGCAGGUUGAAGGUUGGGUAACACUAACUGGAGGACCGAACCGACUACCGUUGAAAAGUUAGCGGAUGACCUGUGGAUCGGAGUGAAAGGCUAAUCAAGCUCGGAGAUAGCUGGUUCUCCUCGAAAGCUAUUUAGGUAGCGCCUCAUGUAUCACUGUAGGGGGUAGAGCACUGUUUCGGCUAGGGGGUCAUCCCGACUUACCAAACCGAUGCAAACUCCGAAUACCUACAAGUGCCGAGCAUGGGAGACACACGGCGGGUGCUAACGUCCGUCGUGAAAAGGGAAACAACCCAGACCGUCAGCUAAGGUCCCAAAGUUAUGGUUAAGUGGGAAACGAUGUGGGAAGGCUUAGACAGCUAGGAGGUUGGCUUAGAAGCAGCCACCCUUUAAAGAAAGCGUAAUAGCUCACUAGUCGAGUCGGCCUGCGCGGAAGAUGUAACGGGGCUCAAACCAUACACCGAAGCUACGGGUAUCACGUAAGUGAUGCGGUAGAGGAGCGUUCUGUAAGCCUGUGAAGGUGAGUUGAGAAGCUUGCUGGAGGUAUCAGAAGUGCGAAUGCUGACAUGAGUAACGACAAUGGGUGUGAAAAACACCCACGCCGAAAGACCAAGGUUUCCUGCGCAACGUUAAUCGACGCAGGGUUAGUCGGUCCCUAAGGCGAGGCUGAAAAGCGUAGUCGAUGGAAAACAGGUUAAUAUUCCUGUACUUCUGGUUAUUGCGAUGGAGGGACGGAGAAGGCUAGGCCAGCUUGGCGUUGGUUGUCCAAGUUUAAGGUGGUAGGCUGAGAUCUUAGGUAAAUCCGGGAUCUUAAGGCCGAGAGCUGAUGACGAGUCAUCUUUUAGAUGACGAAGUGGUUGAUGCCAUGCUUCCAAGAAAAGCUUCUAAGCUUCAGGUAACCAGGAACCGUACCCCAAACCGACACAGGUGGUUGGGUAGAGAAUACCAAGGCGCUUGAGAGAACUCGGGUGAAGGAACUAGGCAAAAUGGCACCGUAACUUCGGGAGAAGGUGCGCCGGUGAGGGUGAAGGACUUGCUCCGUAAGCUCAUGCCGGUCGAAGAUACCAGGCCGCUGCGACUGUUUAUUAAAAACACAGCACUCUGCAAACACGAAAGUGGACGUAUAGGGUGUGACGCCUGCCCGGUGCCGGAAGGUUAAUUGAUGGGGUUAGCUAACGCGAAGCUCUUGAUCGAAGCCCCGGUAAACGGCGGCCGUAACUAUAACGGUCCUAAGGUAGCGAAAUUCCUUGUCGGGUAAGUUCCGACCUGCACGAAUGGCGUAACGAUGGCGGCGCUGUCUCCACCCGAGACUCAGUGAAAUUGAAAUCGCUGUGAAGAUGCAGUGUAUCCGCGGCUAGACGGAAAGACCCCGUGAACCUUUACUAUAGCUUUGCACUGGACUUUGAAUUUGCUUGUGUAGGAUAGGUGGGAGGCUUUGAAGCGUGGACGCCAGUCUGCGUGGAGCCAUCCUUGAAAUACCACCCUGGCAACUUUGAGGUUCUAACUCAGGUCCGUUAUCCGGAUCGAGGACAGUGUAUGGUGGGUAGUUUGACUGGGGCGGUCUCCUCCUAAAGAGUAACGGAGGAGUACGAAGGUGCGCUCAGACCGGUCGGAAAUCGGUCGUAGAGUAUAAAGGCAAAAGCGCGCUUGACUGCGAGACAGACACGUCGAGCAGGUACGAAAGUAGGUCUUAGUGAUCCGGUGGUUCUGUAUGGAAGGGCCAUCGCUCAACGGAUAAAAGGUACUCCGGGGAUAACAGGCUGAUACCGCCCAAGAGUUCAUAUCGACGGCGGUGUUUGGCACCUCGAUGUCGGCUCAUCACAUCCUGGGGCUGAAGCCGGUCCCAAGGGUAUGGCUGUUCGCCAUUUAAAGUGGUACGCGAGCUGGGUUUAGAACGUCGUGAGACAGUUCGGUCCCUAUCUGCCGUGGACGUUUGAGAUUUGAGAGGGGCUGCUCCUAGUACGAGAGGACCGGAGUGGACGAACCUCUGGUGUUCCGGUUGUCACGCCAGUGGCAUUGCCGGGUAGCUAUGUUCGGAAUAGAUAACCGCUGAAAGCAUCUAAGCGGGAAACUAGCCUCAAGAUGAGAUCUCACUGGAACCUUGAGUUCCCUGAAGGGCCGUCGAAGACUACGACGUUGAUAGGUUGGGUGUGUAAGCGCUGUGAGGCGUUGAGCUAACCAAUACUAAUUGCCCGUGAGGCUUGACCAUAUAACACCCAAGCAAUU